Molecule: long non-coding RNA, 1630 nt
Organism: Gallus gallus (chicken)
Lineage: Eukaryota; Metazoa; Chordata; Aves; Galliformes; Phasianidae
Source: Ensembl
GCGGGAGCUUAGUGCUUCAUGCACUAGGCAGGGAGAAGCACAAGGAGCUUACAUGUACACAUGCACUUCUCCUUUGCCUGCAGUUUCACUCCAGCCCACACUGCAACAUCUGGUCCUUGUGCCUAACUCACUGGUGGGGGCACAGCUAGCACAGCAGCAGGCUGUCAGACCUCUGAGGCUGCAUUUCAUGGGGUUUCAUUAAUAACAUUCCCAAUGUGAUUUUCUUUUUGUGUUCUCUUUGUAGAACACAGAAUGUAUUGUAGCCUUUUUCCAGCGCUUACUGGCUAUUUUAAUCAAACCCAGCACUGAACAGAGAAGAAAAAGAGGCAUGGAGGGGAUGUAGUCAUUUAUUAUUAUUAUUAUUUUUUUUGCACUGGACAAUGCUGGCAGAUCUUGUCUUUGCAUUAGGGCGAGGAUUUACCUCUCACCUGCAGCAGGAGCUGAACUGUGAAAUUUCUGUGGCAUCUUAAACGAAAAAAAGAAGUUGGGAUGAACUUGACCAGCAGAGACAGACAUCUAGUAGCGACUGGGACUUCAGGGACAAGGGUGAGGAGAACCUUUGGACCCGAGCUGACACGAGAGUCCAGCCCCCCUCACCCUGCAUGUGUUUACCCCAUCUGGUCAGAAGCCUGCUUAUCACCCUCCCCGGGCCGGGCCCAGAGACAGGGCUGUCUGUCUGUCUGCCUGUGCAGCCGUGUGAUACCCAGCAUCAAUUUCCCUCUCAGAUGGCUGGAAGUAUCUCAGCCUGGUGACCUCCUCUCUCAGCUUGGUCAGCUGCUCAAGAAGAUGACCCACCCGGGCACAUCUGCACCCACAAGACCCCUCACCUACCUCAGUCCCAUGGCUGACCUCCAGAUUCCACAGCUCUGCAGAGCCAAAGGUCUGGGCAGCCUUCCUGCUCCUCAAGAGGUCCGUCUGGGCACACGUGUAAGCCCAGAGAGGUUUUGAACAGAGUGAAUAAAGAAGGCUGCAGACAGAGGUAUACAGAGCUGCACAACAUAACGAACAAGCAAUCACGGGAUACACUGUACUGACGGGCAACAUUUGCUGAGCUCUCCCAGUGGCAAUAUCCUACUUUGGAACAGAAACCCUCCUCUGCGUCUGUGGAUGGACACCUCUGUGACCUGAGCCUCAGUUUCACAGCUCAGGCUUUCUGCAAACAAAUCUCAAACCUAAGUUGUAAAUGAGGCAUCAGAAGGUCAAACACUUGGUAUCCUCAAUCACUCCAACAGCAGUCAGCAAAUAUUUUAAGGAAGGAGACAAGGAUUUAUCUCACGCAGACUGAGUCCAAUACUCCGUUGCCCUGCAUGCUCAGGGAAGAGGGCACCUGGGCUACAAGGAGACGGAGACUCGGUUUCUUUGUUCAGCACGGAGCACAGACUCUCUACUGUCAUCUCUGCACAGUAAAGUCAAUUGGCCAAAAUAUGGACUCAUCUAGAGAGAUGCCACCUGAUGCCCAGAUAGUAUUUCACAAUUUUUUCAUACCCUAUUAAUGCGAGGACAGACCAUCAGCAUACUUUGCUAUUGCCUUGAAGAUCUCGCAUACAAGACAUGCUGACACCAAGUCAUCUCAUCCAUCCCCUGCCACCCAUAAGGCUGUAAAUCAGGCCAGCUUCCCUUGACGUGGAAC